UCAAAAGAAGUGGUGAAAGAGAUAC
RNAcentral lists this small nuclear RNA (25 nucleotides) under Arabidopsis thaliana (thale cress). RNAcentral's name for it is "snRNA_06886". The record is from RNAcentral. Lineage: Eukaryota; Viridiplantae; Streptophyta; Magnoliopsida; Brassicales; Brassicaceae.